AUUUGUGCAAUACAAGCAGAAUUAUCUUCAUAGAUAAUUGUAGGAUUCGUGAUCGAACCUAUACCACAUGACUGUUGUACGUGAUUAAUCAUUUUGCAAAGUCAUACGCAUUCACGUGAAGUUUCAAAUAAUGCAAUUAUUUGAGAAUGAUUUGUGGAUGUGACUAGCCUAUUUUGAUGACUUCCAUGAUAUAGUCGUUCCACCAUGUAAAAAUAUAAAGCCUAUUUGAGAUAUGGCAUUAUGGGGAUCAGAUAAAUAGCCAGCAUCUGUAUAUCCAAUCAUAGUUUUAUCUUGGCCAAAUUUAUAAAAUAAGCCAAGUGUAUUGUCCCUUGGAGAAAUCUGAAGAUAUUCUUAACUCCCAC
RNAcentral lists this long non-coding RNA (362 nucleotides) under Setaria viridis. Its description in RNAcentral is "long non-coding RNA (SVIR_LNC011097)". The record is from RNAcentral. Lineage: Eukaryota; Viridiplantae; Streptophyta; Magnoliopsida; Poales; Poaceae.